RNAcentral lists this ribosomal RNA (403 nucleotides) under uncultured eukaryote. RNAcentral describes it as "SSU rRNA". It matches the Rfam family "Eukaryotic small subunit ribosomal RNA", at positions 567 to 981 of the family's 1831-position model. The record is from RNAcentral.
CCAGCAGCUGCGGUAAUUCCAGCUCCAAUAGCGUAUAUUAAAGUUGUUGCAGUUAAAAAGCUCGUAGUUGGAUUUCUGGGAGGGUGCCAAUGUCCGCCGACGUGCGUGUGCAGCGGCGCUCUUCCAUCCUUCUGUUAACGCCUCUUGGCAUUCAUUUGCUGGUGGCGGGCUCAGAUAUUUUACCUUGAGAAAAUUAGAGUGUUUCAGGCAGGCUAGGCCGGAAUACAUUAGCAUGGAAUAAUAGAAUAGGACUACGGUCUCUUUGUUGGUUUGAGGGACUGCAGUAAUGAUUAAUAGGGAUAGUUGGGGGCAUUAGUACUUAACUGUCAGAGGUGGAAUUCUCGGAUUUGUUAAAGACUAACUUAUGCGAAAGCAUUUGCCAAGGAUGUUUUCAUUAAUCAAG